RNAcentral lists this ribosomal RNA (432 nucleotides) under uncultured bacterium. RNAcentral describes it as "bacterial SSU rRNA". It matches the Rfam family "Bacterial small subunit ribosomal RNA", at positions 30 to 479 of the family's 1533-position model. The record is from RNAcentral.
AUUGAACGCUGGCGGCAUGCCUUACACAUGCAAGUCGAACGGCAGCACGGGGGCAACCCUGGUGGCGAGUGGCGAACGGGUGAGUAAUAUAUCGGAACGUACCCUGGAGUGGGGGAUAACGUAGCGAAAGUUACGCUAAUACCGCAUACGAUCUAAGGAUGAAAGUGGGGGAUCGCAAGACCUCAUGCUCCUGGAGCGGCCGAUAUCUGAUUAGCUAGUUGGUGGGGUAAAGGCCUACCAAGGCAUCGAUCAGUAGCUGGUCUGAGAGGACGACCAGCCACACUGGGACUGAGACACGGCCCAGACUCCUACGGGAGGCAGCAGUGGGGAAUUUUGGACAAUGGGGGCAACCCUGAUCCAGCAAUGCCGCGUGAGUGAAGAAGGCCUUCGGGUUGUAAAACGUCUUUCACCUGUGACGAUGAUGACGGUAGC